GAUGAACGCUAGCGGCAGGCCUAACACAUGCAAGUCGAGGGGCAGCACGGUGUAGCAAUACACUGGUGGCGACCGGCGCACGGGUGCGUAACGCGUAUGCAACCUACCCAUAACAGGGGGAUAACACUGAGAAAUUGGUACUAAUACCCCAUAACAUCAGGACCGGCAUCGGUUUUGGUUGAAAACUCCGGUGGUUAUGGAUGGGCAUGCGUUGUAUUAGCUGGUUGGUGAGGUAACGGCUCACCAAGGCAACGAUACAUAGGGGGACUGAGAGGUUAACCCCCCACAUUGGUACUGAGACACGGACCAAACUCCUACGGGAGGCAGCAGUGAGGAAUAUUGGUCAAUGGACGCAAGUCUGAACCAGCCAUGCCGCGUGCAGGAAGACGGCUCUAUGAGUUGUAAACUGCUUUUGUACGAGGGUAAACGCUCUUACGUGUAAGAGCCUGAAAGUAUCGUACGAAUAAGGAUCGGCUAACUCCGUG
Molecule: ribosomal RNA, 485 nt
Filed under: uncultured bacterium
Lineage: Bacteria
Description: bacterial SSU rRNA
Rfam family: Bacterial small subunit ribosomal RNA
Source: RNAcentral